RNAcentral lists this ribosomal RNA (921 nucleotides) under Triticum aestivum (bread wheat). RNAcentral describes it as "partial small subunit ribosomal RNA". Lineage: Eukaryota; Viridiplantae; Streptophyta; Magnoliopsida; Poales; Poaceae. The record is from RNAcentral.
AUGGGAGCCGGUCUCUAUGGGUAUCUUGACCAAACAAUUCCUGAACCUACCAAAACAAUCUCGUCCAAAAACUCUGAAGGAAAGGAACAGAUUGUUCCAAAUCCCGCCUACACCCCUUGGUUAAUCCAAGACCAGCAGAUCAUAGCCUACCUGCUGAGAAAUCUCUCCAAAGAAAUCCUAGUUCAGGUUGGCUCGAUGGAGACAUCGCAUGCGAUCUGGACAUCCCUUGCAAACAUGUUCGCAACCCAAUCCGCAUCCCGUGUAAAUAACCUCAGAAUCUCUCUGACCAAUGCCCACAAAGGUUCUCAAUCUGUUGCUGCUUAUUUUGGUCAUAUGAGAUCUCUUUCGGAUGAACUUGCAGCUGCGGGAAGGCCUAUCGAAAAACCGGAGCUACUGUCCUUCAUCAUCGCGGGGCUGGACAUGGAUUAUCAGUCCAUCAUCUCGGCCUUGGAUGUCCGCGUCGAGCCCGUCUCUGUUGAUGAGAUGUUCGCAAUGGUGGCGAACUUUGACCAGCGGGUCGAGAUUUUCCAUGGCUCAGGUGCGGGCGGCUUCAAAUCCUCGGCCAACAUGGCUGCAAGGAAUCGCGGCGGCGACGGCAAAAACAACUACCGUGGCUCGCCCAAACCCACUAAUGGUGGUGGUGGCGGGUAUCGCGGUGGUGGUGGAGGCAACAAUGGCGGUGGCGGCUACAACAACCCCAACUACAACAAAGACGGCAAUGGUGGUGGUCCUGUCUACCACAACAACAGUGGCCGCGGUCACCACUACAACAACAACGAUCAAGGGCGCCCCUUCUACAACAACAACCAGGGGCGCCAAGGUGGCUAUGGCGGUGGCUACCGUGGUGGCUAUGGCGGCGGCAACAACUUCCAAGGAUAUGAUGAGUAUGAGGGCAAAUGUCAAAUUUGUAAAAAAAACUAA